UCCUCCCUGGCGCAAUUGGCUAGCGCGUCCGACUGUUAAUGAUUAUCAUCAUGAACAUAAAUCGGGAGGUUGGUGGUUCGAGCCCACCGGGGGGAG
Non-coding RNA from Mytilinidion resinicola, 96 nucleotides. The record is from the annotation of a RefSeq genome assembly. NCBI's taxonomy places the organism in Eukaryota, Fungi, Ascomycota, Dothideomycetes, Mytilinidiales, Mytilinidiaceae.